AUGCCCUGCACCUCAAGCAAAGUGGCGCCCCGGCCCUCCUCUAAUGCCCCGCCCACUACCGGCCACAGCCUCCUCCUCCUCUUCCUCCUCCAGUCGCCACCACGUGCGCUGCCUGCCACCUGCUCCCCGCCUCGCCGGAAGACCAUGGCGGUGACUCCGCGCGGCCGGCCGGACUCCAGCCUCGGCCACCGCCGGCCGGUCCUCCUGCUCCUCCUCUUCUUCUGCCUCCUCGCCUUCUUCCCCCGCCGCGUCGCGGCUUUCCACUCAUUCGUGGGGACGUACGGGGUGAACUACGGCCGGAUCGCCGACAACCUGCCGCCGCCGACGGAGGUGGUGAAGCUGCUCCAGAUGGCGCGGAUCAAGAACGUCCGCAUCUUCGACUCGGACCACACCGUGCUGGACGCGUUCCGCAACUCCGGGCUCAACCUCGCCAUCGCCAUCCCGAACGGCCUCGUCAAGGACAUCUCCGCCACCCCGAGCAAGGCCAUGGACUGGGUGAACGAGAACGUGCGGCCCUACUACCCGUCCACGCGCAUCGUGGCCAUCAUCGUGGGCAAUGAGAUCCUGGGCGGGCAGGACACGGGGCUCGCCGAGGCGCUCUUCGGCGCCGUCGUCAACAUCCACGACGCGCUCCGCGCGAUGCGCCUGUCCGGCAGGAUCGAGGUGAACACGCCGCACUCGGAGGCGGUGUUUGGCACCUCGUACCCGCCCUCCGCCGGCACGUUCCGGCCCGACCUCAUGCCGUACCUGAAGCCGCUCCUGGACUUCUUCUCCAAGACGGGCGCGCCCUUCUACGUGAACGCGUACCCGUUCCUGGCCUACAUGAGCGACCCGGAGCACAUCGACGUGAACUACGCGCUGAUGAAGCCCAACGCCGGCAUCCUGGACCAGAAGACCAACCUCCACUACGACAACAUGUUCGAGGCCCAGAUCGACGCCACCUACGCCGCGCUGGAGGCCGCCGGGUACAGCGACAUGGAGGUGCGCGUGUCGGAGACCGGCUGGGCGUCCGCCGGCGAUGCCACGGAGCCCGGCGCCACGCUGGAGAACGCCCGGACCUACAACUUCAACCUGCGGAAGCGGCUGUUCCUGAGGAAGGGAACGCCCUACAGGCCCAAGAGGGUGGUCAAGGCCUUCAUCUUCGCGCUCUUCAACGAGGACCUCAAGACCGGCCCCGGGAGCGAGCGCCACUUCGGGCUCUUCAAGCCCGACGGCAGCGUCUCCCUCGACCUCGGCUUCAAGGGCCUCACCUCGUCGUCCUCCUCCAUCAAGGGGUGGAAGAUCGCGCGGCAGAUUAGCAAGCCUGCGUUUACUUAG
RNAcentral lists this ribosomal RNA (1317 nucleotides) under Triticum aestivum (bread wheat). Its description in RNAcentral is "partial small subunit ribosomal RNA". The record is from RNAcentral. Lineage: Eukaryota; Viridiplantae; Streptophyta; Magnoliopsida; Poales; Poaceae.